Molecule: ribosomal RNA, 488 nt
Filed under: Manicocoris rufipes
Lineage: Eukaryota; Metazoa; Arthropoda; Insecta; Hemiptera; Reduviidae
Description: partial 16S ribosomal RNA
Source: RNAcentral
UUUGUUUAUUUAUAUAAGGUUUAACCUGCCCAAUGAUUUUUUUUGAAUGGCUGCGGUAUUUUAACUGUACUAAGGUAGCAUAAUCAUUUGUCUUUUAAUUGAAGGCUGGUAUGAAUGGUUGGACGAAGUAAAUUCUUUCUUUACUUUAAUUUAUGAACUUAAUUUUUUAGUUAAAAAGCUUAAAUUCUUUUGUUAGACGAGAAGACCCUAUAGAUCUUUAUAUUUUAAUAUAUUAAUUAAUUUGGAUUAUGAUUUAUUUUGAUCUAUUAAUGUAUUUGAUUGGGGUGAUUUUGGAAUUUUAUGAACUUCUAAUUUUUAAUUUCAUUGAUUUAUGUUUAUUUGAUCCUUUAUUAUUGAUUAAAAGUUUAAGUUACCUUAGGGAUAACAGCGUAAUUUUUUCGGAGAGUUCAUAUCGAUGAAAAAGUUUGCGACCUCGAGUUGGAUUAAAAUAGGUGGUUGGUGUAGUAAUUAAUUUACCAGGUCUGUUC